CGAGCUUCUAAUGAAGCUUCCUCAAAUUCACCUCUUGGAGGCCCCCCCUCUUGAUCCUCUCUCCUCUAAAGCUUAGUAAUGUCUGCCUCCACCCCCUCAAUUCGUCUGAAAAUAUCACCGACCUCCAACUGGUUCCACCAAAUGAGCCUAUGUCUCACCAACUCCAGCCUCUUGGUCACUUGAUAUCUCAUAUCACCAU
Molecule: long non-coding RNA, 199 nt
Filed under: Elaeis guineensis (African oil palm)
Lineage: Eukaryota; Viridiplantae; Streptophyta; Magnoliopsida; Arecales; Arecaceae
Description: long non-coding RNA (EGUI_LNC017716)
Source: RNAcentral